GGAAAGGUGAAUGGGAGAAUGGUCAGUCAGAGGCUGGCCAGGCCUCUGGCGGGGCCCAACUGCAUAGUAUGAUCUCACUAGCUCACACCAUACAUGGAAGUCAUCGAAGAAUAUGCUGCCAAAGGCCAGCCACGAGUCUCCACUGCAGUCCAGCUUCUGCCGCCGCUGGCUGCUGCCUUUGCUGUGAAAGGGGCCUAGUUCCUGACCGACUUCCCGG
This is a long non-coding RNA of Mus caroli (Ryukyu mouse), 217 nucleotides long. RefSeq lists it as uncharacterized. Lineage: Eukaryota; Metazoa; Chordata; Mammalia; Rodentia; Muridae. The record is from RefSeq and is a predicted model, not a curated record.